Non-coding RNA from Pelobates cultripes (western spadefoot toad), 522 nucleotides. Lineage: Eukaryota; Metazoa; Chordata; Amphibia; Anura; Pelobatidae. The record is from the annotation of a GenBank genome assembly.
UCAAGAUUAGUGCUCUGCACAUCCUGCAGCCAAUCCCUACUGCUGGUGACUCAGAAUUCUAAAUCGUGCUAACCCACAUGUUGUUUAUGCUAAAUACCCACUAAUGCACACUGCAAACACGGUUUAAAGAGGUUUCUCUGUCUCUCUCACAGGUUAUCAGAGCUUACUAAGUACAACCAGCUGUAACGAAGGAGCCUUUCCUCUGGGCUGAGAUACAAAGCCUGAUAAAGGACAGUGGGCACAUGGAACGAUACACACCCCCUCCAGAUUGGACGAUGAAAGUCAUAUUUCACCAUCACCUGAAUUAUAAAAACAAAUCCUGAAUAAUACAGAUUUCUUCAAACGCUACAGGGCUCCUUAAUGUCGCUGCGUGGAGCUUAAACCUUAAUUGAGUCAAAAAAGGUUCGUGAUUUCUUUUAGAAUUGAUCUAUUCCUGCACCUGAGGUCAACAGGUGACACAUGAUGGAUGCAUGAUUUUAUAGCUCGCUCCAGUUUAAUAGGGCCCUUGCAUAAAUCUUUCCU